AUUGAACGCUGGCGGCAUGCCUUACACAUGCAAGUCGAACGGUAACAGGUCUUCGGAUGCUGACGAGUGGCGAACGGGUGAGUAAUACAUCGGAACGUGCCUAGUAGUGGGGGAUAACUACUCGAAAGAGUGGCUAAUACCGCAUGAGAUCUACGGAUGAAAGCAGGGGAUCGCAAGACCUUGUGCUACUAGAGCGGCCGAUGGCAGAUUAGGUAGUUGGUGGGAUAAAAGCUUACCAAGCCGACGAUCUGUAGCUGGUCUGAGAGGACGAUCAGCCACACUGGGACUGAGACACGGCCCAGACUCCUACGGGAGGCAGCAGUGGGGAAUUUUGGACAAUGGGCGAAAGCCUGAUCCAGCAAUGCCGCGUGCAGGAUGAAGGCCUUCGGGUUGUAAACUGCUUUUGUACGGAACGAAAAGCUUCGGGUUAAUACCCUGGAGUCAUGACGGUACCGUAAGAAUAAGCACCGGCUAACUACGUGCCAGCCGCCGCCGUAA
This 498-nucleotide ribosomal RNA is filed under the name uncultured bacterium. RNAcentral describes it as "partial 16S ribosomal RNA". It matches the Rfam family "Bacterial small subunit ribosomal RNA", at positions 30 to 523 of the family's 1533-position model. The record is from RNAcentral.